GUGGCUGUAGUAUAGUGGUCAGUAUACCUCAUUGUAAGUAACUGAGGAGACGCCUGUUCGAUUCUGGCCAGCCACA
Molecule: non-coding RNA, 76 nt
Organism: Talaromyces islandicus
Lineage: Eukaryota; Fungi; Ascomycota; Eurotiomycetes; Eurotiales; Trichocomaceae
Source: the annotation of a GenBank genome assembly